This 369-nucleotide unclassified non-coding RNA is filed under the name uncultured bacterium. Its description in RNAcentral is "contains 16S-23S intergenic spacer region". The record is from RNAcentral.
UCCGACUUUGAGCCGGCAGUCUCCCAAGAAAUUAGCAACAUGGGACAAGGGUUGCGCUCGUUUACGGACUUAACCGAACACCUCAAGGCACGAGCUGACGACGACCAUGCAGCACCUGUCAUCGGGUUCCUUACGGCACCCCACUGUUUCCAGCGGGUUCCCGAGAUGUCAAGUCCAGGUGAGGUUCCUCGCUUAGUAUCGAAUUAAACCAGAUGCUCCACCGCUUGUGUGGGCCCCCGUCUAUUCCUUUGAGUUUUAAUCUUGCGACCGUACUCCCCAGGCGGGAUACUUAACGCGUUAGCUCUGACACUGAUCCGUCGAUAAACUUCGGACCAACAUCGAGUAUCCAUCGUUUAGGGCGCGGACUAC